UAAGUUGUCAAGACAAUCGCGGCUGGUGCAUGACACCAGAUGAGGAAAGUCCGGGCUCCAUAGGGCAGUGUGCUGGAUAACGUCCAGCGAGGGUGACCUUAGGGACAGUGCCAUAGAGAUUUAGACCGCCUGACUUGUCAGGUAAGGGUGGAAAGGUGCGGUAAGAGCGCACCAGCAGUCAGGUGACUGGCUGGCUUGGGUAAACCCCACACGGAGCAAGACCAAAUAGGGAAGGGAUGAUGCGGCCCGCGGAACCUUCCGGGUUGAGUCGCUUGAGCCGGCAGGCAACUGCCGCGCCUAGAUAAAUGAUUGUCGCCCCCACGUUUGUGGGUGGAACAAAACUCGGCUUAUUGAUUGCUUAUUCA
Selenomonas ruminantium subsp. lactilytica TAM6421 is the source of this 365-nucleotide non-coding RNA. The record is from Rfam. Lineage: Bacteria; Bacillati; Bacillota; Negativicutes; Selenomonadales; Selenomonadaceae.